Long non-coding RNA from Danaus plexippus (monarch butterfly), 1056 nucleotides. RefSeq lists it as uncharacterized. The record is from RefSeq and is a predicted model, not a curated record. NCBI's taxonomy places the organism in Eukaryota, Metazoa, Arthropoda, Insecta, Lepidoptera, Nymphalidae. The transcript is spliced from 2 exons.
CACUGUGGCCAUCGAGACUUAGAAUUAUACACUCAAGGUUUCACUUUCCAAUUAGGUUAUUAUAACAGUUUUACUAAUUAAUGACAAUGUUCUAUAUUGUUAUCAUAUUAUCUUGUUACGCUCAAGAUAUAGAUCGAGUGUUAAGAAAAUUUUAAAUUGAUUUAAUUAUUUACUUUUUGUUUCGUAUUCUUCCAUUAUUAGGUGAUUAGAGUUGGUAUUAUGUAUACCUUAAUGUGUAAUUUAUGAUAAUGUGAUAGAAGUAAUUGUCGAGAGCUUGGUAACCCUACAUCACAAUGGUUGUGACGCAAGCACUGUCAAUAGUUUAGUGGGUGACAAGGUAUCGCAAUCGCGGCAUUAGCGUUCUGAGCGAUGACUCUCAUGACUCCAAGGACGGCGGCAAAUACCAAAUGACGAUAUAUGUCAAUAUUUAAACUGUGCGUUUUUUGUUCGUGAGACACUCGCGAGUGCAUAGUUUGAUAGUUCCUGUUAAUUUAUAACAUAUAUAGUUUUUAUGACUAUCAAAAAUAGACGAAACCAUAGGUGUUUGGAGUGAAAAUAAAUCAGUAGAAUACAAAGUAAAUUAAGAACAUACAAAUGGAAACCCUCUAAGGACUUCGUCUGUUUCAUAAGGAAUUGUACGUAAUUGGUUAUCAAUGUAUGUCAAACGAUACUUACCCACAUUUCGUUGAGAGGUUGAGGGGAAAGAGAGGCUGGAGCAGACGACACAGCGGAGUCUUCGUCCGACGGACCCUCCUGAAUGAUAAAUCGAAAAUCAUAUAUGCAUAUACUAGUGUUCAUAAUUAUCUUCCAAAGAAUACAUUGCCAUUUCAUUGAAUUUAUUUUAUAUAAUUUCAUAAUGUUUUUAGGAAGUAAAACUCCAAAGUAAAGCCUCUAUGUUCAUUAUUCUACAUUAAAUCGUUUCAGAUUUUAUCGAUAGUCAUAAAGCACUAGUAGAUAAUUUGAAUAUAGAUACAAAUAGUUAAUUUAUUUUAAGUGAAAGUAACUUACUGUAUUGAAUAUAGACUUUUGUUUCAAUAGUAAUAUUUUCAAAACAUA